CGAGUUUGAUCCUGGCUCAGAGCGAACGCUGGCGGCAGGCCUAACACAUGCAAGUCGGACGAAACCUUCGGGUUUAGUGGCGGACGGGUGAGUAACACGUGGGAACGUGCCUUUUGGUCCGGAACAACUCAGGGAAACUUGAGCUAAUACCGGAUAAGCCCUUCGGGGGAAAGAUUUAUCGCCAUUAGAGCGGCCCGCGUAGGAUUAGCUAGUUGGUGGGGUAAUGGCCCACCAAGGCUCCGAUCCUUAGCUGGUCUGAGAGGAUGAUCAGCCACACUGGGACUGAGACACGGCCCAGACUCCUACGGGAGGCAGCAGUGGGGAAUCUUGCGCAAUGGGGCGAAAGCCUGACGCAGCCAUGCCGCGUGAAUGAUGAAGGUCUUAGGAUUGUAAAAUUCUUUCACCGGGGACGAUAAUGACGGUACCCGGAGAAGAAGCCCCGGCUAACUUCGUGCCAGCCGCCGCAGUAAU
Molecule: ribosomal RNA, 471 nt
Filed under: Caulobacter sp. VITPRS25
Lineage: Bacteria; Pseudomonadati; Pseudomonadota; Alphaproteobacteria; Caulobacterales; Caulobacteraceae
Description: bacterial SSU rRNA
Rfam family: Bacterial small subunit ribosomal RNA
Source: RNAcentral